CCUACGGGAGGCAGCAGUGGGGAAUCUUGCGCAAUGGGCGAAAGCCUGACGCAGCCAUGCCGCGUGUAUGAUGAAGGUCUUAGGAUUGUAAAAUACUUUCACCGGUGAAGAUAAUGACUGUAGCCGGAGAAGAAGCCCCGGCUAACUUCGUGCCAGCAGCCGCGGUAAUACGAAGGGGGCUAGCGUUGCUCGGAAUUACUGGGCGUAAAGGGAGCGUAGGCGGACAUUUAAGUCAGAGGUGAAAUCCCGGAGCUUAACUUCGGAACUGCCUUUGAUACUGGGUGUCUUGAGUGUGAGAGAGGUAUGUGGAACUCCGAGUGUAGAGGUGAAAUUCGUAGAUAUUCGGAAGAACACCAGUGGCGAAGGCGACAUACUGGCUCAUUACUGACGCUGAGGCUCGAAAGCGUGGGGAGCAAACAGGAUUAGAUACCCUGGUAGUCCACGCCGUAAACGAUGAUUGCUAGUUGUCGGGAAGCUUGCUUCUCGGUGACGCAGCUACGACAUAGUACACUCCGCCGUGGGAGGUACGGUCGCGAGAGUAAACUACGAAGAAGUUAGUAGNGUUGAGAGNGCGACGGACGACGACGAGGGAGGAGG
Molecule: ribosomal RNA, 597 nt
Filed under: uncultured bacterium
Lineage: Bacteria
Description: bacterial SSU rRNA
Rfam family: Bacterial small subunit ribosomal RNA (bases 1-517)
Source: RNAcentral